This is a long non-coding RNA of Salvia splendens (bonfire salvia), 2175 nucleotides long. RefSeq lists it as uncharacterized. The transcript has 2 exons. The record is from RefSeq and is a predicted model, not a curated record. Lineage: Eukaryota; Viridiplantae; Streptophyta; Magnoliopsida; Lamiales; Lamiaceae.
CAGAUAAGUAAUCAUAAAUAAAAUAAGGCAUGACAACUCAUCUCAAAAUAUUCACGUGUUCACAUAAAAUCACGUUUUGAAAGAAAAGAAGAGCCCACCUCGUUUGCUCAAACUCUUUCAAACGAGUGCUUUUCCUGUCCUAGGAUUACGCGUCAUGCGACGACGUUCCUUUAAAAAUUAAUAUACUUAAAUGAGGCUUUAAGUAAUUAUUCAUCUUGCAUGAAUGCAUGCCUAAGCGUGUGCUUAUUAUUUUAUUUCGUUCUUUCUAAAUUUAGAAAUCUUAAUUCUGCAACUACAUCAGCGAUGUAAUUUAUUCGGAAUCUGGCCGAACUGUGCGAGUAUACUAAAUUCCCGGAUUAUCAAGUAUUUUAAAAUACUUCCUGUCACUAAUAAAGGGUUUGCUUUAGUUAUUUAUCUAAUACUACUUCACACGGCUUAAUAAUUUGUCUUCUUCCGUGGCUUGGGGAAUUUCUCUUGUUAAAUCCCGAAUUUGUUUAGGGCUUUGGUCUAGCGGAUUUAAUUCUAUGCUAAAGCCCAGAUUUUGUUAAGUGGAUGAAAUUCUUUUAUUUAAUUUGGCCCAGCCUUCUUUUCUAUGGCCCAAUUUAAUUUAAUCUCAGGCCCAAAAGAGAUUUAAAUUCCUCUAAACAAAGGCCCAAAUUUUAUUUUAAAUGGGCAUGGCCCAAUUUUAUACUCCUAUCCGUCUACUGCCUCUCUCCCUUCUCUUCUCCCCAAUUUCUCAUUUCCUUCUUCAAAUUAAAACCCCAAACGAAGUAGGCAAACUCUAGCUCCAUCGCCGCUGUACCGGAUCCUACUUCUCCUCCCUCUCUUGAACCCUCGCCUCUCUCUGUCUUUUCACUACUUCCCCAAUCUGGAGCAAUCAAAAUAUGAAGCCAAUCCUCCAACUGAGAUGGGGGUCAAGACCGGAGGAUGGAACCAGCGUCGCCGUCAUCUCCUCUCCGGCGCUCGCACAGCAGCUGCUGGAAUCAGCAGUGCUCGCCGACGCUUCGCGAGGCAUCAGCCGUUGCUGUCGAUUCGCGCUGCUGGUUCUAGGUCGCCGCUGCACCAGGGAGUUAACGUGGCUGAUUUCGCGGCCUCGCCGUCGCCGGUGGUCUCCGAGGCAACCCCUCGGCCUUAAAGCUAAACCCCCCUUUCUAUAAGUUAAGACUUCUACUGUCUUCUCUAGCAUAAUACGUUAUGGUUUUGGUAGCAACUAUGUGGGUCUAAUUAUUUGAGCUUACUGUUGAGAUUAUAAGCUUUGAGGCAGCCUAUGAUUGUUCUUGUUUCAAAAAAUUGUGUGAUGCGGGAAAUCUAAAGCUCUAAGUUCUUGAGUAUGAGAUUCGACUAUGAUGCAGAGGGAAGUAUUUUGAUUACCUGUUGCGGCCAUGAUUUGAAAGGGAUUCUCUUGCUGGACUUACACCACUUGUUGGUUUUCCUUUUCUCAACUCACUAUUCUAAUUUCUGGAAGAUUUCCAAGUAUGGAAAUGAGAAAGCGUUGUGGUGUAUGGAGAGGUUUUUAUAGGUGAUUUGGUAACUGCAAAUCUGCUACUCUUGAUCCUCUUGCAGGGACAUUUUUGUUGGUUGUGAGAGUGUACUCAUGUUUGUUACAAAACUGAUUCCCAUUUUGUUUUCCACAUGCAACAUAUCUUCCCUUCAUGAUCCUGUAGUACUUUUUAAUUAAUGUUGUUUGGUGUUUAGCUUGGGACAAAAAGGACUCUUGAAAUUAUGUUUCUUGUUUGAUUUCUGCAGUGUGUACAUAGGGUUGGGGUGGUUGUUAACUGCAGCUCUGCAGCGUCCUAUUUCUCUGUUCUUUUGCAGCAUAAACACUAAGGUCUUUGUACGGUUUCGCAUGUGUAAGGUGAAGCAGGGGCAGGUGGCUGGAGUGCAGGGAUUGUCUGCCAGCUUUAUGUGCAGCUCCUUCCCACUCAUAGAAAGGGAAAAGAGACUAUUCGUUGCCGGCUAUUAGCUCGUUGCAUCGGCCCAUCGUCCGUCGGCAGUUGAGGCAAUAACCGGUGUUAAACAUGCCGUAGCUAGUUCCCACUCCUUCCUCCUAUUGUAAUAGAGUAGCUCUACAUGUAACUUUCUUCAAUAUGUAAUAGCUAGUUGACGUGUAUUUCGUUUGUCUUUGUUUUCGUCGUCAAGCAUUUUGUGAAAUAAAGCUUAGUUUGGAACUUCUAA